UCCUGACUGCAUGCACACGCUGU
Molecule: non-coding RNA, 23 nt
Filed under: Cricetulus griseus (Chinese hamster)
Lineage: Eukaryota; Metazoa; Chordata; Mammalia; Rodentia; Cricetidae
Source: RNAcentral